This 297-nucleotide unclassified non-coding RNA is filed under the name Hevea brasiliensis (rubber tree). The record is from RNAcentral. Lineage: Eukaryota; Viridiplantae; Streptophyta; Magnoliopsida; Malpighiales; Euphorbiaceae.
UGCAGCCAAGUAUAUUGCUUUCAGCAAACUCAAAGAUGCAGGAGCAGUUGCAAGUUUAGCUGCAUCUAGAAUCUAUGGUUUGAAUGUGCUUGCACAAGAUAUUCAGGAUGAUUCUGAUAACGUCACCCGCUUCCUUAUGCUGGCUAGGGAGCCCAUUAUUCCUCGUACUGAUAAACCAUUCAAGACAAGUGUAGUCUUUUCACUUGAUGAAGGUCCGGGGGUGCUUUUCAAGGCACUAGCUGUUUUUGCCAUGCGGAAUAUAAACCUUACCAAGAUUGAGAGUCGUCCACUGCAAAA